This 447-nucleotide ribosomal RNA is filed under the name uncultured bacterium. Its description in RNAcentral is "bacterial SSU rRNA". It matches the Rfam family "Bacterial small subunit ribosomal RNA", at positions 355 to 825 of the family's 1533-position model. The record is from RNAcentral.
UCGGGAAUUUUGGGCAAUGGGCGAAAGCCUGACCCAGCAACGCCGCGUGAAGGAUGAAGUAUUUCGGUAUGUAAACUUCGAAAGAAUAGGAAGAAUAAAUGACGGUACUAUUUAUAAGGUCCGGCUAACUACGUGCCAGCAGCCGCGGUAAUACGUAGGGACCAAGCGUUGUUCGGAUUUACUGGGCGUAAAGGGCGCGUAGGCGGCGUGGUAAGUCACUUGUGAAAUCUCCGAGCUUAACUCGGAACGGUCAAGUGAUACUGCUGUGCCAGAGUACAGAAGGGGCAAUCGGAAUUCUUGGUGUAGCGGUGAAAUGCGUAGAUAUCAAGAGGAACACCUGAGGUGAAGACGGGUUGCUGGGCUGAUACUGACGCUGAGGCGCGAAAGCUAGGGUAGCAAACGGGAUUAGAUACCCGUGUAGUCCCUGAGCGGGCUGGCAAGGCGCAU